GACGAACGCUGGCGGCGUGCUUAACACAUGCAAGUCGAACGGAAAGGCCCUGCUUUUGUGGGGUGCUCGAGUGGCGAACGGGUGAGUAACACGUGAGUAACCUGCCCUUGACUUUGGGAUAACUUCAGGAAACUGGGGCUAAUACCGGAUAGGAGCUCCUGCUGCAUGGUGGGGGUUGGAAAGUUUCGGCGGUUGGGGAUGGACUCGCGGCUUAUCAGCUUGUUGGUGGGGUAGUGGCUUACCAAGGCUUUGACGGGUAGCCGGCCUGAGAGGGUGACCGGCCACAUGGGGACUGAGAUACGGCCCAGACUCCUACGGGAGGCAGCAGUGGGGAAUAUUGCACAAUGGGCGGAAGCCUGAUGCAGCAAUGCCGCGUGCGGGAUGACGGCCUUCGGGUUGUAAACCGCUUUCGCCUGUGACGAAGCGUGAGUGACGGUAAUGGGUAAAGAAGCACCGGCUAACUACGU
This 467-nucleotide ribosomal RNA is filed under the name uncultured bacterium. RNAcentral's name for it is "partial 16S ribosomal RNA". It matches the Rfam family "Bacterial small subunit ribosomal RNA", at positions 28 to 506 of the family's 1533-position model. The record is from RNAcentral.